UACGUAGGACCCAAGCGUUGUCCGGAUUUACUGGGUGUAAAGGGUGCGCAGGCGGAUGGGUAAGUCAGGGGUGAAAGUCUGCAGCUUAACUGUAGAAUUGCCUUUGAUACUGCUCAUCUUGAGUUUGGGAGAGGUUGAUGGAAUUCCAGGUGUAGCAGUGAAAUGCGUAGAUAUCUGGAAGAACACCAGUGGCGAAGGCGGUCAACUGGCCCAUAACUGACGCUCAUGCACGAAAGCGUGGGGAGCAAACAGG
This 253-nucleotide ribosomal RNA is filed under the name uncultured bacterium. Its description in RNAcentral is "partial 16S ribosomal RNA". It matches the Rfam family "Bacterial small subunit ribosomal RNA", at positions 524 to 776 of the family's 1533-position model. The record is from RNAcentral.